UACGGAGGGUGCAAGCGUUAUCCGGAAUCAUUGGGUUUAAAGGGUGCGCAGGCGGAAUUUUAAGUCAGUGGUGAAAUCCCUUCGCUUAACGAAGGAACUGCCAUUGAUACUGAAAUUCUUGAAUUUGGUUGGCGUGGGCGGAAUGUGCCAUGUAGCGGUGAAAUGCUUAGAUAUGGCACAGAACACCGAUCGCGAAGGCAGCUCACGAAACCAACAUUGACGCUCAGGCACGAAAGCAUGGGGAGCAAAC
Molecule: ribosomal RNA, 250 nt
Filed under: uncultured bacterium
Lineage: Bacteria
Description: partial 16S ribosomal RNA
Rfam family: Bacterial small subunit ribosomal RNA
Source: RNAcentral